AUGAAGAUUCUUCAUGUUGUCGUGUUUUGUUGCUUCUCAGUUGUGUGUGUGAAGACCUCGGCAGUGCUGGAGGUGAGCGGCCGUGUUGGAGGAGAGGUCUCCAUUCACUGCUCUGUUGGCUGGACCAAAGACAACGGCUCCGAACACAACAACAUGUACUUCUGUAGAGGAGUCUGCUCCAGAGAAAACAUUCUCGUUGAGACUGAGAGGAAGGGGUCGGCUGUCACCGGACAGGGCAGAUACAGCAUUGAGGUCAGCGGAGGAUAUGGAGUCUUCAACGUGACCAUAAAGAAGCUGCAGGCGGCGGACGCAGGCCGAUAUUGCUGUGGAGGGGAGAGAACCAUGAACGUGUUGUACCAGGAGGUCGAGCUCAUAGUCCUAGAUGCUCCCACUGUUCGUCCUGGAUCUCUGCCCCGUGGCAGCUUUCAAUCCACCACUGAAUCGUCACCCGCCGUGUUAACGCUGCCCACUACACCGAAGACAAACAAGAAGGCAACCAUCAACCUCACAGACACCACAGUGGUCAUCAUUAUUUCCGUGAGCCUGGCUCUCCUGGUGUGUGCACUCAUCCCCCUUGUGUUCUACGGCCACUGGAGGAGUAAUGCAGAAGGUCAGAGCAGACCUCAAGCAAACCUAGGUCAGGGUGAUUACUGCGAGGAAAAUGCAGAUGGUGCCUCGACUCAGGGCAUGGUGAAGCUGCAGCCGUUGGAACCAGAUCCAGAGUCCAGUGCUCAGGAUGAUUCCCAGUAUGCCGUCAUCUACCAGGCACUGGAUCCCCAAACUGUGGAAUGAGCGGGGUUUAUUCUGUUUUUGAGCUGGCAGCUCGUUCCGCCCGUUUAUCUGUAUUUUAUCAAAUAAAGGACAAAUACUUGAGUUACUUCCCGAAUUGUUCCUUUGCAUGUAACACCCCUAGUGGGUGCGUAACAGUCUUCUCUCUCACAACCGCGACCUGAUAGAUCGAUGACCAAACUUGCUUCAGAAACUUUGCAAUAUACAAUAUGAUGUCAAAGAUCACAUACA
This 1020-nucleotide long non-coding RNA is filed under the name Scophthalmus maximus (turbot). RNAcentral's name for it is "lncRNA (ENSSMAG00000022132.1)". Lineage: Eukaryota; Metazoa; Chordata; Actinopteri; Pleuronectiformes; Scophthalmidae. The record is from RNAcentral.